UACAGAGGGGGCCAGCGUUAUUCGGAAUUAUUGGGCGUAAAGGGCGCGUAGGCGGCUUUGCGUGUCUUUCGUGAAAUCCCUCGGCUCAACUGAGGACGUGCGGAAGAAACUGCAGGGCUGGAGUCCGGAAGAGGAGAGUGGAAUUCCUGGUGUAGCGGUGAAAUGCGCAGAUAUCAGGAAGAACACCCGUGGCGAAGGCGGCUCUCUGGGACGGUACUGACGCUGAGACGCGAAAGCGUGGGGAGCGAACAGG
This 253-nucleotide ribosomal RNA is filed under the name uncultured bacterium. RNAcentral describes it as "partial 16S ribosomal RNA". It matches the Rfam family "Bacterial small subunit ribosomal RNA", at positions 524 to 776 of the family's 1533-position model. The record is from RNAcentral.